RNAcentral lists this ribosomal RNA (638 nucleotides) under uncultured bacterium. RNAcentral describes it as "bacterial SSU rRNA". It matches the Rfam family "Bacterial small subunit ribosomal RNA", at positions 848 to 1503 of the family's 1533-position model. The record is from RNAcentral.
ACACUUAACGGAUUAAGCAUUCCGCCUGGGAGUACGGUCGCAAGGUUAAAACUCAAAGGAAUUGACGGGGACCCGCACAAGCGUUGGAGCAUGUGGUUUAAUUCGAAGCAACGCGCAGAACCUUACCAACACUUGACAUCCUGAUCGCGGUUACCAGAGAUGGUUUCCUUCAGUUCGGCUGGAUCAGUGACAGGUGCUGCAUGGCUGUCGUCAGCUCGUGUCGUGAGAUGUUCGGUUAAGUCCGGCAACGAGCGCAACCCACAUCUUUAGUUGCCAGCAGUUCGGCUGGGCACUCUAAAGAAACUGCCCGUGAUAAGCGGGAGGAAGGUGUGGAUGACGUCAAGUCCUCAUGGCCCUUACGGGUUGGGCUACACACGUGCUACAAUGGCAUCUACAGUGGGUUAAUCCCCAAAAGAUGUCUCAGUUCGGAUUGGGGUCUGCAACUCGACCCCAUGAAGUCGGAAUCGCUAGUAAUCGCGUAACAGCAUGACGCGGUGAAUACGUUCCCGGGCCUUGUACACACCGCCCGUCACACCAUGGGAGUUGGUUCUACCUGACGGCCGUGCGCUAACCUCUUUGAGGAGGCAGCGGACCACGGUAGGAUCGGCGACUGGGGUGAAGUCGUAACAAGUAGCCAU